GACGAAUGCUGGCGGCGUGCUUAACACAUGCAAGUCGAACGGUAAGGCUCCAGCUUGCUGGGGUACACGAGUGGCGAACGGGUGAGUAACACGUGGGUGACCUGCCCUGCACUUCGGGAUAAGCCUGGGAAACUGGGUCUAAUACCGGAUAGGACUGCACCGUGAGGGUGUGGUGGAAAGUUUUUUCGGUGUGGGAUGGGCCCGCGGCCUAUCAGCUUGUUGGUGGGGUAAUGGCCUACCAAGGCGGCGACGGGUAGCCGGCCUGAGAGGGUGGACGGCCACAUUGGGACUGAGACACGGCCCAGACUCCUACGGGAGGCAGCAGUGGGGAAUAUUGCACAAUGGGCGGAAGCCUGAUGCAGCGACGCCGCGUGGGGGAUGACGGCCUUCGGGUUGUAAACUCCUUUCACCAUCGACGAAGGGUUUCUGGCGGUAGAUGGAGAAGAAGCACCGGCUAACUACGUGCCAGCAGCCGCGGUAAUACGUAGGGUGCGAGCGUUGUCCGGAAUUACUGGGCGUAAAGAGCUCGUAGGUGGUUUGUCGCGUCGUCUGUGAAAUUCCGGGGCUUAACUCCGGGCGUGCAGGCGAUACGGGCAUAACUUGAGUACUGUAGGGGAGACUGGAAUUCCUGGUGUAGCGGUGAAAUGCGCAGAUAUCAGGAGGAACACCGGUGGCGAAGGCGGGUCUCUGGGCAGUAACUGACGCUGAGGAGCGAAAGCAUGGGGAGCGAACAGGAUUAGAUACCCUGGUAGUCCAUGCCGUAAACGGUGGGCGCUAGGUGUGGGUUUCCUUCCACGGGAUCCGUGCCGUAGCUAACGCAUUAAGCGCCCCGCCUGGGGAGUACGGCCGCAAGGCUAAAACUCAAAGGAAUUGACGGGGGCCCGCACAAGCGGCGGAGCAUGUGGAUUAAUUCGAUGCAACGCGAAGAACCUUACCUGGGCUUGACAUAUACAGGAUCGCGCCAGAGAUGGUGCUUCCCUUGUGGCUUGUAUACAGGUGGUGCAUGGUUGUCGUCAGCUCGUGUCGUGAGAUGUUGGGUUAAGUCCCGCAACGAGCGCAACCCUUGUCUUAUGUUGCCAGCACGUUGUGGUGGGGACUCGUAAGAAACUGCCGGGGUUAACUCGGAGGAAGGUGGGGAUGACGUCAAAUCAUCAUGCCCCUUAUGUCCAGGGCUUCACACAUGCUACAAUGGUCGGUACAGUGGGUUGCCAGUCCGUGAGGGCGAGCUAAUCCCGCAAAGCCGGUCUCAGUUCGGAUCGGGGUCUGCAACUCGACCCCGUGAAGUCGGAGUCGCUAGUAAUCGCAGAUCAGCAACGCUGCGGUGAAUACGUUCCCGGGCCU
Molecule: ribosomal RNA, 1341 nt
Filed under: uncultured bacterium
Lineage: Bacteria
Description: partial 16S ribosomal RNA
Rfam family: Bacterial small subunit ribosomal RNA
Source: RNAcentral